CCGGCGUCGGCGGGGUUACACACUUCAAUUGGGCGCGACGCUUUGGCAGGCGUAUGGUAGGUUGUGACCCACAACGCCACCAAAGUUCCUGCAGGCCAGUCUCCUUUUCUCUCGUACCCGCUCUCGAUCGCUUCAAUCUCCCUGCUCAUAUGAUGCAAUGCAUUGGCGGCGGCGUGGUGUUCCUGCUUUCCGCAGAUCCUUUGCCGGUGACCCUCUCCCUCACCAUUGUGUUGCUGCUGGUCAACGAGCUCGCUAGCUGCUGGGCACGCCUUGAACCCGUGGGGACCAUGUGAAUGUCGAGGAGAGGAGCCAUGAGGGUUCUGUUCAUGGUCAUGUAUCCUGGGUUAAUCAUGGAUCUUUAACUGUUAAAUCUGUGCAUUUUACAUAUCUUGCAUAUUGUUCUGCAUAUAUGGUCUGAUCAACUAUUUGUGGUAAGGAUGAACAUUAGUAUGACGAAAAAACAUCUAAACUAAAAUUACAAGUUAAGGCUUUUAAGAUAAAUUAAUAUAUCACAGCAGGACGGAUGUAUUCAGAUGUAAGUCAGCACACAUUUUUAUUCCACAAAUAGGAUUCAGAGUUUAUAGGAAAUGUUGUCCCCGAAUAGUUUUUUGAACUGCAUGUUGUAAACGACCAAGAGCCAAUUCGAAUUGAUCUUGUAACAGAUCCGCAACGUGGUGUAAAAAGUAUAUAACUUUUGUGAGGCCAGCUCUAGGACAAAGUGAAAAACGUCUGUGAUAUCUCAAGUGAGACUUUUUUUUCUGAAUCAUUAACUGGUCGUCAGUAAGGAAUUAUGCCAUUAGCUUUUUGUAAAAAUGCAAAAAAAUUAGUCGAUCAGAAACACCAUGAUGAUGUGGACAUGUCUGUUGUCCUACAGCUCGACUAGAUGCUGGUUGUAUUGGGCAAAAAAAAGAUGUUUCUUAAACAUUAUUAUUAUGUCCCAUUAGUCGGAAUGCUAACUAAAUAGUCGUCGUAUAUAUGACCUAUUAUUUCAUUUAUUACAUGGAACGUCAACAAAGUAAUCGAUAUUAAUUAUUCCCAUUGAGACAGCAAGGAAUGUGUUCAAGGCUUAGCAGACACUUUCAUUUUACUUAUGAUGAUGCCAUAAACUUGAUGAUUUACACAUAGACUAUGUGCAUUGCUAUGGAGUAUUAAUUUUUCAUGUACAGAUUAGUCAGGGUGUGUACUGCUAUGGGAGAGGAGCUCCCGACUCACGCCCUAGAGUGUGAGGACGAAGCAGGGGGCAGUAGCCUUGGAGAGAGGGUUGGGAGUUUGCGGCGGCAGAGGAGGAGCCACGCUUGCCGGCUGCAGCGACUACUCGGAGUGGAGGUGGAGCGAAGCAGCGGGUUCACGUAAGGCCUGCCCGAGUGCAUCGAGUUUAGGGGCAGCCGUACCCUGCACACAUGGUGGGGGGAAAUGUGCUAGCAAGGGUAUGAUUGAGCAUGAUGGACAUGAUGGCAGGAAAGAGAAGGGGAGAUCUCAUAAAGUGCUUUGCCGAUUGGCGAUGCAAUGCUUGUGAUCUGGAGAGCAAGCCAAGGUGGUUGGAUGAUCUCAAACCAUCAAAUGGUGCAAUUGAGUUGUAUGCCAAAAUUGAUGGUUUCGGGAAGCUGAGUUGUAUCUCCAGAAGGGUGGAUCCCUUAACUAUGAGAUUGUGCUUUGAUAUUUCUACUACCAGCCAUGUGUUUUAGAAGCAAUCUCUGGAAUACUGCACCUCUAUAAUUAUUAUGUGGACUACCAUGUGAUACUCGACCUCUCAAUCCAUACUCUGAGAUGCAUUUUAUCUGACCAUAAUGCCAUUGGUUUCAGAUAAUCCAAGCCGCAUGAUAGUGGCAUAAACCCAAGCAUGUUGUUCUUCAAGAUGAGGAGCCAGGCCUGACGUCAAACAUAGGAAAAGGUGGUGCAGUGGAAGAAUACGACUUCAUUCUAGUGAGAUGUGGCUCAAGUGGAUGUUGGCGAUACAGCAGUGAGAAGAUCCCCUUGCUUGGCUGCUCCCGAGUCCUCCGAAUCGCUUUGUUUUCUUAGAAUUUAUUUCUCUUUCUUUCACAAGUAGGUAUUUAAUACUUUGAAGUUGUGCUCUGUCAUCACCUUCUCCUUGCCUGUCUUUUGGAGAAUAUUAGGCUUUGAUAUCAA
This is a long non-coding RNA of Hordeum vulgare subsp. vulgare (domesticated barley), 2127 nucleotides long. RefSeq lists it as uncharacterized. The record is from RefSeq and is a predicted model, not a curated record. The transcript has 2 exons. Lineage: Eukaryota; Viridiplantae; Streptophyta; Magnoliopsida; Poales; Poaceae.